This is a non-coding RNA of Oncorhynchus mykiss (rainbow trout), 676 nucleotides long. The record is from RefSeq and is a predicted model, not a curated record. Lineage: Eukaryota; Metazoa; Chordata; Actinopteri; Salmoniformes; Salmonidae.
CAAUUUGUCGGAGGAAACAUUUGUUAUUGUUAUUUCUAUCAAAGGAAAAACCCAGUCCACUUCCAAGAACCCAGUCACCACGGAGACAGCGACUACGAGGACGAUUCCGCGAAAGACGUGAAGGAAGAGGAGGACGUGGACCAACCUGAGUGUCCGUAUGGCACAGACUGCUACAGGUAGGAUGCACACCACAGGAUAUAAGGGAUUGGUAAUCAUGUCUCAAGACCAUUUAUUGUCAGUAAUGGCAAACAUCAGAAAAAAGUAGCCUAAUAGCUCCUACAAUUUCAACAGGAAAAGAGAAUAUAACCUAUUAUUAUAGCCAGUUCUCCCCUGUAAGAGGUAUUAUGACCUCAAUGGAACUUUCUGGAUACAGGAAGGUUAAAUAAAACAGUAAGGCAGUAAUCAGGACUCAGAUGACAGGAGAGUGUCUGAGUGGACUCAAUUUGUUGGCCUCCAUUUUAACCUUGAGCAGUUGACAUCGGCAACCAAAGUGCUUGAGCAACAGGAGAGGCUGACAUUUUAGUCUCAUUGGCAUUUGGCAAUACUAGUAGCCCUUUGUAGUAAAUCAAGCAAUUUUCCAUGUUUUCUUUUCAGGAAAGGAAUACAAACUGGAAGGAAUACAAACACACCAAGAAGCGAUAAAGCCGGUAUCAUACAACAACGAUGAUGAUGAGUU